Molecule: ribosomal RNA, 1517 nt
Filed under: metagenome
Description: bacterial LSU rRNA
Rfam family: Bacterial large subunit ribosomal RNA
Source: RNAcentral
CUGGGUAAGUCGGGGCCUAAGGCGAGGCAGAAAUGCGUAGUCGAUGGACAGCAGGUUGAGAUUCCUGCACCCGUAAUGAACAGAACUGUAGUGACACGGAAGGUAAGACAGAGCCGGGAAUGAGAAAACCGGUGCAAGCACAAUAGAUGUGUGGGAGGAAAAUCCCCCGCAUAAGUCAAAGGUGUGAUGCGGACCGAAAAAGAGUAGGGAAGCUGUUAAGCAAGCCGUCAAGAAAAGCUGCUAUUGUUUCAUUAUGGCCCGUACCGUAAACCGACACAGGUGGAUGGGGAGAGAAUCCUAAGGCCGGCGGAAGAAGUAUUGUUAAGGAACUCGGCAAAAUGACCCCGUAACUUCGGGAGAAGGGGUGCCUGCGAGAGCAGGCCGCAGAGAAGAGGCCCAAGCAACUGUUUAGCAAAAACACAGGUCUAUGCAAAACCGAAAGGUGAGGUAUAUGGGCUGACGCCUGCCCGGUGCUGGAAGGUUAAGGGGAGUGGUCAGGAAACGAAGCCACGAACUUAAGCCCCAGUAAACGGCGGCCGUAACUAUAACGGUCCUAAGGUAGCGAAAUUCCUUGUCGGGUAAGUUCCGACCCGCACGAAAGGCGUAAUGAUUUGGGCGCUGUCUCGACAAUACAUCCGGUGAAAUUGAAGUGCCAGUGAAGAUGCUGGCUACCUGCGCCAGGACGGAAAGACCCCAUGGAGCUUUACUCCAGCUUGAUACUGGGACCCGGUAUUGCAUGUACAGGAUAGGUGGGAGGCUAGGAAUGUGGACGCCAGUCUGCAUGGAGCCGCUGUUGGGAUACCACCCUUGUGGUGCUGGGUUUCUAACCAGAGGCCGUGAACCGGUCUGGGGACAAUGUCAGGUGGGGAGUUUGACUGGGGCGGUCGCCUCCGAAAGGGUAUCGGAGGCGCCCAAAGGUUCCCUCAGAAUGGUUGGAAACCAUUCGAAGAGUGCAAAGGCAGAAGGGAGCUUGACUGCGACACCGACGGGUGGAGCAGGUACGAAAGUAGGGCUUAGUGAUCCGGUGGAAUUUAAGUGGGAAUGCCAUCGCUCAACGGAUAAAAGCUACCCUGGGAUAACAGGCUGAUCACUCCCAAGAGUUCACAUCGACGGAGUGGUUUGGCACCUUGAUGUCGGCUCAUCGCAUCCUGGGGCUGAAGUCGGUCCCAAGGGUUGGGCUGUUCGCCCAUUAAAGCGGUACGCGAGCUGGGUUCAGAACGUCGUGAGACAGUUCGGUCCCUAUCCGGCGUGGGCGUAGGAUAUCUGAGAGGAGCUGUCCUUAGUACGAGAGGACCGGGAUGGACUGACCUCUGGUGUACCGGUUGGCGAUCAACGCCACGGCCGGGUAGCCAUGUCGGGACGGGAUAAACGCUGAAGGCAUCUAAGCGUGAAGCCCCCCUCAAGAUGAGAUAUCCCAUCGUAAGAGUAAGACCCCUUGAAGACGACGAGGUUGAUAGGGCAGGGGUGGAAGUGCUGUAAGGCAUGGAGCUGACUGCUACUAAUCGGUCGAGGGCUUG